CCUACGGGUGGCAGCAGUAGGGAAUCUUUCACAAUGGGCGAAAGCCUGAUGGAGCAACGCCGCGUGCAGGAUGAAGGCCUUCGGGUUGUAAACUGCUUUUAUAAGCGAGAAAUAUGAUGGUAACUUAUGAAUAAGGAUCGGCUAACUACGGGCCAGCAGCCGCGGUCAUACGUAGGAUCCGAGCAUUAUCCGGAGUGACUGGGUGUAAAGAGUUGCGUAGGUGGGAUAAUAAGUAGCUAGUGAAAUCUGGUGGCUCAACCAUUCAGACUAUUAGCUAAACUGUUAAGCUCGAGACCGUUAGGGGUAACUGGAAUUUCUAGUGUAGGAGUGAAAUGCGUAGAUAUUAGAAGGAACACCAGUAGCGUAGGCAGGUUACUGGGACGGUUCUGACACUAAGGCACGAAAGCGUAGGGAGCAAACGGGAUUAGAUACCCUAGUAGUC
This 442-nucleotide ribosomal RNA is filed under the name uncultured bacterium. RNAcentral describes it as "partial 16S ribosomal RNA". It matches the Rfam family "Bacterial small subunit ribosomal RNA", at positions 338 to 795 of the family's 1533-position model. The record is from RNAcentral.